Long non-coding RNA from Ornithodoros turicata, 227 nucleotides. RefSeq lists it as uncharacterized. The transcript has 3 exons. NCBI's taxonomy places the organism in Eukaryota, Metazoa, Arthropoda, Arachnida, Ixodida, Argasidae. The record is from RefSeq and is a predicted model, not a curated record.
UCACAUGAAGCAAGGAAGGCCAAAAAGAAGAAGCCAAGACAGUUGCCACCAGAAUCUGAUGAUGACAUAGACACCAUCAUGAAUGCUCCGCCUGUGCCCUCAAACUUCCCAUGCCCUACCCCUGCUGGUGGUUCUCUGGAUGGAGAUCAUGGUAGCAUGGUGGAAUACUGUUCAAGCUUGCCACCAGAUAUUCAGUGCCAAAGGCAGGAAAGACAAACAGCUUCUUC